UUUAUGGAGAGUUUGAUCCUGGCUCAGGAUGAACGCUGGCGGCGUGCCUAAUACAUGCAAGUCGAGCGAACAGAUAAGGAGCUUGCUCCUUUGACGUUAGCGGCGGACGGGUGAGUAACACGUGGGUAACCUACCUAUAAGACUGGAAUAACUCCGGGAAACCGGGGCUAAUGCCGGAUAACAUGUUGAACCGCAUGGUUCUACAGUGAAAGACGGUCUUGCUGUCACUUAUAGAUGGACCCGCGCCGUAUUAGCUAGUUGGUGGGGUAACGGCCUACCAAGGCGACGAUACGUAGCCGACCUGAGAGGGUGAUCGGCCACACUGGAACUGAGACACGGUCCAGACUCCUACGGGAGGCAGCAGUAGGGAAUCUUCCGCAAUGGGCGAAAGCCUGACGGAGCAACGCCGCGUGAGUGAUGAAGGUCUUCGGAUCGUAAAGCUCUGUUGUUAGGGAAGAACAAAUGUGUAAGUAACUGUGCACAUCUUGACGGUACCUAACCAGAAAGCCACGGCUAACUACGUGCCAGCAGCCGCGGUAAUACGUAGGUGGCAAGCGUUAUCC
Molecule: ribosomal RNA, 563 nt
Filed under: Staphylococcus pseudintermedius
Lineage: Bacteria; Bacillati; Bacillota; Bacilli; Caryophanales; Staphylococcaceae
Description: bacterial SSU rRNA
Rfam family: Bacterial small subunit ribosomal RNA
Source: RNAcentral